CUUAGCUCAGUUGGAUAGAGCAACGGCCUUCUAAGCCGUAGGUCAUAGGUUCGAAUCCUAUA
This 62-nucleotide transfer RNA is filed under the name Serratia marcescens. It matches the Rfam family "tRNA", at positions 7 to 64 of the family's 71-position model. Rfam says of the family: Transfer RNA (tRNA) molecules are approximately 80 nucleotides in length. Lineage: Bacteria; Pseudomonadati; Pseudomonadota; Gammaproteobacteria; Enterobacterales; Yersiniaceae. RNAcentral also lists the same sequence under 3 other names. The record is from RNAcentral.